UUUUUAACAUAAACUGUUAUCUCAUUUCAUUCAAAAUCAACCGGUAAACAUACAACUAUACAAAUAGGAAUUCAAUAAAAAAAAUUGAGUCUAGUAAACCUGUUGCCGCACCAGCGAUUGAGUUAACCUGUUAAAAAAUGCUUUGAGUGUGUUGUUAAAUUACAUCUUAACUUCUAACACCAAGUGUUAAAACUAAUUUAUUGGACCAAAUUGCCUAUCAUCUAAAACGAUCUACAAUUGGAAUUGGAUUGUCACCGCACUUGAUUUUAAAGAACUUUACAAAACCAUUAACGGCUCCAUGUACACAUCUAUCAGCCCUAACUAUAUCACAAUUUAAAAAACGUCAACAAGAGAAGGAUUGAAUUUUUAACCUGUCUCAAGAACGUCACCAACAAAACGUACACAUAUUUACACAAGGAAGAAAAAAAAAAUCCUAUCUCCAAUCAAUAAUUGGGAAAUAGAAAAAGAAAAGGAACGAAUCAUAUCAAAUGAUCUAUCCUCACCAACUUUUCUGGUGGCCAUGUUUCCCUGAAUUCUUGUCAUUUGAAUAAUCCUUGGAAUCACCAGUUCUUGGAGAAGCUAACUCUUCAGGAUUCAUCAUCUUCAUACUAUCAUUCAGCCACCCCCUAACAUAGUCUCUCUUCUUAGAGUUCAUCAUCGAUUUGUUCCUUGGUUUUGAACUAUCAUAAUAUUCACUCAAUGUGGGGACCACAUACCACACAACACAAGUGCAAAGUGUAGCAACCGAUCUCCCAAAAACAACCAAAAAAACCAAAAUCAACAUCACAACCGCUGGCACAUAGAAGGAUGGCCUCUUCAACAUAUUCCAAGAAAAGCUCAAAUUCUUCUUAUGAGAUUCCAACUUAUUGAGUUUCUGCUUCCUUUCUUUCAAGGUUGCUUCUUCAUCAGAUUUCUCCAAUUGCUCCGAGAAAGAUGUUAUGUGUCUUGCUUUGNNNNN
This 958-nucleotide long non-coding RNA is filed under the name Glycine max (soybean). RNAcentral's name for it is "long non-coding RNA (GMAX_LNC000739)". The record is from RNAcentral. Lineage: Eukaryota; Viridiplantae; Streptophyta; Magnoliopsida; Fabales; Fabaceae.